GAAACAGCAACAAAUCGACGCACAUUCUCAUCCGCAUAAGAUCACGCUGUAGAAUUAAAAAAAACACAAUCCGAAAAUGAUUAAACGAAGAUUGAUAGGUUUUAGAGGUACCAGUGAUGUUUUCUCUCUCUAGAAAAAAAAACUUUUUCUCGCUCUAACUUCUCUGUAAGCGAAAUGUUCAACUGAAUGGAAGUGGUGCAAGUUCAACUAGUGCUUCAGAG
This 221-nucleotide unclassified non-coding RNA is filed under the name Hevea brasiliensis (rubber tree). The record is from RNAcentral. Lineage: Eukaryota; Viridiplantae; Streptophyta; Magnoliopsida; Malpighiales; Euphorbiaceae.